Molecule: long non-coding RNA, 763 nt
Filed under: Homo sapiens (human)
Lineage: Eukaryota; Metazoa; Chordata; Mammalia; Primates; Hominidae
Description: HSALNT0079616
Source: RNAcentral
AGCUAUUCAUUACUACCUAGUAACUUCAAACAAAAUGAUAGCUUGGAACUCAAUACCUUUAAGGUCUUUCUAAGUCUAUAAUUUAUAGUUUUUCAUCAAAAGAAAUAUUACUUUAUCUAAAGUUUUUUUAAUAAAAUAAAGCAAUGACUAAUAACUUGAAACCUUCUCUCCAGCAAGUUUGUUUAAUUUAAAAAAAUGGUUUUACUAAAAUAAUUCUGAUUCCGUUUUGGUCUUCAAUUAUUAGUUCUAAACACCAAACAUGUCUUUCUAAUGAAAAUCAAAUUAUUGAAAUUUUUGCCAUACCUUUUUUGUCACAUUGUUCAUUGGUGUUUCUGAAUUUUGAUUUCAGGAGUUGGGGAACUAGAAUCACUCCUAAGGGAUAAAGCAUUUUGAGUCACUUCCAGAGAGUGUUUUGAUUUAUGCUGUAGCCAAUAUCAUCUUGAAAUUGUCCUCCCCUUCUCAUCACUAAUAUUGCUGAAGAGACACUCUCCUCAUUACCAAGCAAAACCAGACCGGUUAACUUGCCCAAGAUCUAUAGCUUGCUGCAGUGAUCUCAUCGGUCUGUGUCCCUGAUGGGAACUCAAGCAGGUGGUGCGGAGAGCAGCGAGAUGACAUACGGAGACAGAUUGCCGAAAUAGGCUGAUCCACCAGGCCAACUAAUUUUCCUUCUGAGAAGAGCAAUUAUUUUAAAUUGCCAUAUAUCAACAUGACUUUGUUCUUGCCACUAAAAUAUAACAUCAAUAAACUGUAAUGUAAAUGAGUG